This 460-nucleotide ribosomal RNA is filed under the name uncultured bacterium. RNAcentral describes it as "partial 16S ribosomal RNA". It matches the Rfam family "Bacterial small subunit ribosomal RNA", at positions 338 to 795 of the family's 1533-position model. The record is from RNAcentral.
CCUACGGGGGGCUGCAGUGAGGAAUAUUGGUCAAUGGACGAGAGUCUGAACCAGCCAAGUAGCGUGAAGGAUGACUGCCCUAUGGGUUGUAAACUUCUUUUAUAUGGGAAUAAAAUGUUCCACGUGUGGGAUUUUGUAUGUACCAUAUGAAUAAGGAUCGGCUAACUCCGUGCCAGCAGCCGCGGUAAUACGGAGGAUCCGAGCGUUAUCCGGAUUUAGUGGGUUUAAAGGGAGCGUAGGUGGAUUGUUAAGUCAGUUGUGAAAGUUUGCGGCUCAACCGUAAAAUUGCAGUUGAAACUGGCAGUCUUGAGUACAGUAGAGGUGGGCGGAAUUCGUGGUGUAGCGGUGAAAUGCUUAGAUAUCACGAAGAACGCCGAUGGCGAAGGCAGCUUACUGGACUGCAACUGACGCUGAGGCUCGAAAGUGUGGGUAUCAAACAGGAUUAGAUACCCGUGUAGUC